This 253-nucleotide ribosomal RNA is filed under the name uncultured bacterium. RNAcentral's name for it is "partial 16S ribosomal RNA". It matches the Rfam family "Bacterial small subunit ribosomal RNA", at positions 524 to 776 of the family's 1533-position model. The record is from RNAcentral.
UACGUAGGGGGCAAGCGUUGUCCGGAUUUAUUGGGCGUAAAGAGCGUGUAGGCGGCUUGGUAGGUCCGCUGUGAAAACUCGAGGCUCAACCUCGAGAUGUCGGCGGAAACCACUUGGCUAGAGUCCGGAAGAGGAGAGUGGAAUUCCUAGUGUAGAGGUGGAAUUCGUAGAUAUUAGGAAGAACACCAAUGGCGAAGGCGGCUCACUGGUCCGGUACUGACGCUGAGGUGCGAAAGCGUGGGGAGCAAACAGG